GCGGGAGUUGUGGCGGACAUGGACAGAUGAAUUCACAUGAUCUUGAGAUUGCAUGGAACCCUAUGUUGUUGACACAUAAGGUGUAUGAUCUCGACCUCACUGAACCCUGUCUUGUAAAUUUAUUAGUUCCUUACAUCUGUCCGUGUAACUUCGAACCCAGUUUAGACAUACUCAGUUUCAUAGGGCAGACGAGUAAGGAAAAUCAACUGAUGUUGUCAAGAAGCAUUGCGGAAAGUCUGUAUCUUGCCUGGAAUCUCUUAUGUCUGUUAUCUCAAUUGCUUGUAUGAUAAAAAUUAUUGCGUGAAGAUUUUGCUUUUGUAGUUUGCCUAGUUUAAUGCUCUAUUCAUUUACUUUGCAGCUCAUAACACUUCUGUUGAAACUACUUGUGAGCGGAUGUUUACGCCAUUAAUGUCGACCAUUAUAUUGGAGGAUUUAAAGUGGGUAAUAUACUAUCAUGUUUAAAUAAAUUCUCAUCUUGUUUGCUUCAAGAACCUGAGUGUUGUUACACAAUAACAUAUUAGCUAAUCUCAAUUUCUUAGGGUGAUACAUGUUGCACUAAUUGACAUUGUUGACAGCAUAACAAAAGAAGCUUGAACUAAUAUUAAGUUUUGCAAUUGAGAAGAGGAGCGUGAGGGAAUAUGAUGUGACAUGUGAGUAUCUUCUCUCUAUGUAACUACAUCAUUGGUAAU
RNAcentral lists this long non-coding RNA (689 nucleotides) under Triticum aestivum (bread wheat). RNAcentral's name for it is "long non-coding RNA (TAES_LNC017020)". The record is from RNAcentral. Lineage: Eukaryota; Viridiplantae; Streptophyta; Magnoliopsida; Poales; Poaceae.